RNAcentral lists this long non-coding RNA (2438 nucleotides) under Homo sapiens (human). RNAcentral's name for it is "HSALNT0247557". Lineage: Eukaryota; Metazoa; Chordata; Mammalia; Primates; Hominidae. The record is from RNAcentral.
AAUACCCGCGACGCUCGGAUCGGAGUCUGACGAUGGUCAGCAGGUGGCACUCUCGUUUUAGGAUUCCAGCCCCUAAUUCUUUCAGAGUAAAUACUGAAAAGUCAAAGGACCUGUCAAGAUCAUCGGCCAUGACAGUGGCUGGAUGGAGGCCACCUCAUCCAUCUGGUCCUGGCAUUUCUGAGAAAGGACCAUGCUGAACCAUGCAGAGCAAAUUUGCAAGGUUAUAAUUCUUUGAUUUGGGUAAAGUGUCUGGUGUUGGAGCUGAGAGGCAUCAAUGGAUAAUACUUUUUAUGCUAUUUGCUCUUCUUUAGUGCUAUCUCAUGGACUGCCUCAUUGGUUGUCACAAUAAUACUGUGAGGUAGGUAGAACAAGUAUCAGCAUCCCCCGUUUGACCUCAUGGGAAGCAGACACAAUUUUUUUUUGUGUGUGUGAUGGAGUCUCACUCUGUCACCCAGGCUGGAGUGCAGUAGCAUGAUCUCGGCUCACUGCAACCUCCAUAUCCCUGGUUCAAGCAAUUCCCCUGCCUCAGCCCCCUGACUAGCUGGGAUUACAGGCACCUGCCACCACACCUGGCUACCUUUUUUGCAUCUUUUGUAGAGACGGGGUUUCACCAUGUUGGUCAGGCUGGUCUCGAACUCCUGACCUCGUGAUCCACCCACCUUGGCCUCCCAAAGUGCUGGGAUUACAGGCGUGAGCCACUGCUCCCGGCCGCAGACACACUUUUCUCUACAGUGUGAGAGAGAGGUGCCCUGUUUGGCCAAAACCAGGAGUAGCACAGAGUCUGCCCUGCACUUUUGGUGUCACCCUAAUAAUCCUUGGGAAAAUUACAGAGUAAGACAAAAAGAAGAACCUUCAAGAAAAGUAGGAAUCAAACACUGCGAGCUAUUCUAAUUCUAAAGGGUCAAGAGAAUAAUAGCUUUAUCCUGUCACCUAAACAGUUGGGAUUCCAUUUGAGAACCAACUCUAGUCAGCCUUCAGGCUGGUCCAUGAUCAAGGACCUACAAGACGAAGUGACAGCCCAGUGACUCUACAAGUUCACCUGUCCCUCAUCUCCACAGCCCUGCAGCAUCAAUGGGCAUGCUGUGAAUGCUGGAGGACUGACCAGCAUGCCCCGAUUGUUCUCUAUUACUUGGAGUGUUAAGUCUUAUCUCCUUGGCUAGAUUGAAAGAAUCGGGAAUAGAAGCUAUAUGCUAGAAAGCCAUGCACAGCCAGCCACUGUGGCUGUCCUACCUGGUAGCCCAGCUCACAUGAGACUGACCCAGGACACCACGGGACCACUCCAGACCCCCUGUUAACCUUUCCUGGCACAUCCAAGCAAAGGGCUGAUACUCACUGCAAGGUGGUGCCCCACCUUUCCACAGCCCAUCACCACCACCACCCUCUUCUCCAGAAUCUAGCUCUUUAGGCUAAUAUGGAAAUGAAGAAAAGAGGAUUUGUCCACGCAUGUGACUGAGGAGAUAGUUGGAGAGAUGGUCUUAGGGAAAGGUGGGUACAGUGAGGCAAAUGUCACCGUUUUCUCUCUCUCUCUCUCUCUCCCAGUCUAUCUUUGCUUAUCUUCGUAAAUUGGCUUCUUUCCCUCACCCUAAUCCAAACAGAUUAGAUCUAUUUGUCAUGGGGUACUGCUAAAACCAGGCUUAUGUCCUGUCAAGAGUAGCAACCCCAGAGGAAAGAGCCGCUCACUCCUGCUUCAGUAUAGAGAAUUCCCAGGGCCAAUUCUCAUUGGCCCAGCUUGGGUGACAUUUCCCUACUUUGACCUGUCAUCAGGUGUGAGGCUGGUGUUAGGAUUUUGCAGGGCGGUUAGUCGGGUGUUCAGGAAUAUGAUUGGAAUCCCCACCACAAACCCAGAAUCAACAGGAGCUGGGGCAAAUCAACAGGAGCUGGGGCAAAUCAGCAGGAACUGGGGCAAGGCAGUCUUCCAAAGGAAGGGACUAUUGAUGAUGCAGACACCAACUGUCUACCAUGAUGGUUUGUUCUGAAGAGUAACAUAUGAUUUGUGCAGCAGAAUUCCUCAUAAUAAUGAAGAAAACAAUGAGAGAUCAUGAAUGUUUGACCCCAUAUAUACACACACGUCUGCACAACUACCUACUGGCAAAUUCUCCUGGGGUGAGCAGUGGAAUUCAGUUCAGAAGUGAUCUUUUUUGGCAGAAACAAGUCAGGAGGAAUUCUACGUGAACACCAUCGGCCCUUGGUGUUAUGCCUGGCUCAAGCCAGCAUUAUCUGUCAUUCAGUUUCAGGAGCAUCUGACACACCUUUUCAUGCUGAGAGCUAAUUGCCCUAUUUUCAAACCUGGACCUGUCCCUCCAGUGAUAUUUUUCCAAUUGCAGUGAUAUAUUUGUGUAGCCAGCAAGCACUGCCAAAGCUAUAGCUAUUCUGGAGUGUCGUUGGGGUAGGGAGCAGGGGAAUUAUGCAGCAAUACAGUAAACAAAAGUAAAGCCUCU